RNAcentral lists this transfer RNA (65 nucleotides) under Goniurosaurus liboensis. RNAcentral's name for it is "tRNA-Tyr". The record is from RNAcentral. Lineage: Eukaryota; Metazoa; Chordata; Lepidosauria; Squamata; Eublepharidae.
GGUAAGAUGGCCGAGAAUAGGCGGCGGAUUGUAGCUCCGCCAACGGGCAUAAAGCCCUUUUACCA